AAAGUGGGAAUUACGGUAAUAUAAAUACCUUAAUAAUGCAUUGAAAAGCAAAGAUAGCAUGUAUUUUGUAAGUGUGUAUAACGGACAAAGAUAAGAAAUUGACACGUUAUGUAUAUGGUAUACAUACAUUAGAAAGGGCAUUAUGGUAUAAAUAACUGGAUAUACCCCUUAGACCAGUAAAACUUGAAGAAAUGUUUCUAAAUGUUUUUAAGAGUUUUUAUGAUCUGAAAAGUAUUCUGUAGACAUCAGGAAAUGUAACAAGGCUUGUUUUAUCAAGUUGAGGAAAACUGUAGUUACUCCAUAAAAAAAAGGAUUGACAAUGUUGGUUAAAAACGAAAAGUGUUCAGAUUAGGCCCUUCCUGGGCACGAUAAUAAAAUGUUUACAUAUCAGCAAAAGUCGUUUGCCUCCACCAGUUUAUUCUUUGAUUUGGUUAUUUGAAAAUCAAAAUGUGUGUGACACAAAUUAUACAUUUUAGCGUUAAUUUCGUAUAUACACAAGAGUACAAUGGAAUAAUUUUAGCGAAGCAUCACCAGGAUCUUAGACAGUUUUUCAGUAAUAUAUCAAUCUUUCGUAGUGAUGCCUAGAACUAGAAGUUGAAGGCCAGAAAGAAGCAGUUUGAAUAAAAAUUAACAGCUUAAAACUUUCUUUACGUUAUUAGUCUUUCAGAUAAAUAAGAUGCAGUCUUUGUCUUUGUUCUUCCCAAAAUAAAACUGUACAACUGCAUUGAAGGGACUCAGAUAGUAAAAGUGCGAGUUUACCUAAUGAUGUCAUAAUUAUGUAUCCAAGAGUCUGAUGUUCAGUCCAUAUUAAUAAAAUACUUCCAACAUUAAUUUUAUUAAAUUUAAUUAUUAGUUUUGAACAAUCCUGACUUUUAAUAAUUACCAUUCAGUUUGAAUUCAAUAUAGUAUAC
Agrilus planipennis (emerald ash borer) is the source of this 911-nucleotide long non-coding RNA. RefSeq lists it as uncharacterized. The transcript is spliced from 5 exons. Lineage: Eukaryota; Metazoa; Arthropoda; Insecta; Coleoptera; Buprestidae. The record is from RefSeq and is a predicted model, not a curated record.